This 468-nucleotide ribosomal RNA is filed under the name uncultured bacterium. Its description in RNAcentral is "partial 16S ribosomal RNA". It matches the Rfam family "Bacterial small subunit ribosomal RNA", at positions 28 to 507 of the family's 1533-position model. The record is from RNAcentral.
GACGAACGCUGGCGGCGUGCUUAACACAUGCAAGUCGAACGGAAAGGCCCUGCUUUUGUGGGGUGCUCGAGUGGCGAACGGGUGAGUAACACGUGAGUAACCUGCCCUUGACUUUGGGAUAACUUCAGGAAACUGGGGCUAAUACCGGAUAGGAGCUCCUGCUGCAUGGUGGGGGUUGGAUAGUUUCGGCGGUUGGUGAUGGACUCGCGGCUUAUCAGCUUGUUGGUGGGGUAGUGGCUUACCAAGGCUUUGACGGGUAGCCGGCCUGAGAGGGUGACCGGCCACAUUGGGACUGAGAUACGGCCCAGAGUCCUACGGGAGGCAGCAGUGGGGAAUAUUGCACAAUGGGCGGAAGCCUGAUGCGGCAACGCCGCGUGCGGGAUGACGGCCUUUGGGUUGUAAACCGCUUUCGCCUGUGACGAAGCGGGGGUGACGGUAAUGGGUAAAGAAGCACCGGCUAACUACGUG